CUGUGGUCGGGGGAGGACUAUAAAUGUCCAAGUGCCCAAAUAUCGCUCUCUUACAAGAAAUGGGAAGAGGAGUAGUGACGUGUUGGGUUUUCGUCUAUGGUAAGCGCUGGCAUUAAAAGCACUAAUGGUGUAUGUGUGUGUUAAAACCAUGUGGGACUCGCGGUUUAGGUAGGUUGGAAUGACUAUUAACUAGAUCGAUUGGAACUUCAGCUUCACGUAGAUUUUUUUUAAAUUUUCUAUCCAUGCUCUAGAUUGCUAGUAGUACCGUAUUAUCUAAAUGCUAACAGAUUGAGGGUCUUGAAAUUAAAAUCACAGUAGCUUGUUCACAUUAUUUGAUCGUCUAUUUUGCGCUACUUUCAAUGUACUGCUUGGUAGAGGCUUGUCUGCGAUGUUCGUUAACAGGCCUGUUAGUGACACGUGCAAGGCCGCUAUGACACGAGGUACUUUUAAAAAACACCUCGGCCUGGUUAGCAAAUUUGGCUAACCGGUAUACAACAAGUUUAAUGCAAUUUAACUCAUGCUUACUUUCCUCCAUAGAUUUUGCAACCAUGUUUGUCGACCAGACAUGGGAGGACUGCAAGCGGGGGGAAAUCCCUUUCGAUGAAGGCCUGCUGAUAAAGUGAAUGACGGCGUCUAAAGGACACAUCCUCUAAUUGGCCAAAUAAGAAUUUGCUGUUAUGUUGAAGGUAAGAAUGCUUUGGAUGACUUGCAGCUCAAUGCUAUAAACUUGCAUUGUGCACUGAUGAGAGCUUUAUAGCUUUAACCCAGCUUUCUUACUGUUGGUGAAGACAUUAUGUUCUAACUCUGAGCACAUUGUGUAAUGCCUUUAGGUCUACCUUUUUUUAAAUGUGUAAAUAUGGCUCACCAAGUUCUUCCUGUUUUAGGUGUAAUGGAGGCUGUGAGGCCGCUACCAUUUGGUUGAAAUUGAAAGAUCAAAGGUGAGGCUGUUAAUCACAAUACCAUUUUACUGUGCAGUGAUGAGAGCUUUAAAGCUUUAACCCAGCUUUCUUACUGUUGGUGAAGACUAUUAAACUCUGAGCACACUUUGUACAGCUGCUCAAGUUGGCCUUUUAUUUUUUUAAAGGUUAUUGGGGGUUAGUGCUAAAACCUAUUCAAAUGUUUUUCUAAUAGGGUGUCUUUGAUUUUCAGGAAUCAUGCUUAUUACAUGAUGCUGUGAUACCAUCUUUGAAGGUAAGAGCGUGGAAUUGUAUAGGUAAAUGGCAAAUGUGCUGUGAUGAGUUUUUUUAAUCACCUACUUAAUGUUUUGUGAAGAAUCUUCGGAACCCUGAGCACCACUCUUUAAUGGCAUACUGCUACCUUUUCGUGUCUGUUUGGCUCAUGUUUCCUUUGUCCUCCACAGAAAUGAAGACCAUGUAUCAGGGUGUUGAGUCUCUGGUUUUUAUGCCCUAAGUUGACAGGUAAUGCACACCUUACAUCUAAAGUGCUUCAUGCUGAUCGGGCUGUGCACUGAUGAGAGCUUGAUAGCUUUAACCCAGCUUUCUUACUGUUGGUGAAGACUUUCAAAAUCUGAGCACAGCUUGUAGUGACUUAUUGUCAAGUAUGUCCAUACUACACUAACUGAUGUUUAAUGUUUGCUUUUCAGAAAAAUCCUGACUCCUCUAAUUAAAGGUGCGUUUGGGUGGCCUAACCCUGUGAGCUACACAUGUCCUGUGCAGUGAUGAUUACUUAUCACCUACUGAAUGUCUAGUGAAGAACCUUCGGAACCCUGAGCACUACUGAGUCAUUAUGGGUUCUUUUUAUGUGGGCCGCAUGUUGCUCAUUAACUUUCUCCACUUUUCCAGGAAUUUACAUGGAAUGGUGAUACUUGGUCUCUUGCUGCAGUGGAUGUCAAAGCAAGGAGGUCAUGCUGAUCUUCUGGUAUGCUGCUGGACUAUCGGUGCAUGAUGCUGCUUUACCCGGUUCUGAUGUCUGGAAUUUAUUGAAAGGAAUGUUCUCUAGAUUCCAUCCUGCUGGAAAUGCUCUCUACUAAGAUGCGCUACUGCUCAUCACACCCCAGCUGGGUUCUUGUCCCUUAAUGCCAUGUAUUCCAGAAGACUCAAGGAAAAGAUUGAAUAAUAUGGAUCCUGGCAUGUCAGUGUUUGAGUUGAUUUGCUGCAUUAUUGGGCUCUGUGCCCUUGAAUUAAAUGUAAAGUGAAAUAAAUGUUUAUUCAAAGUGC
Molecule: long non-coding RNA, 2177 nt
Organism: Esox lucius (northern pike)
Lineage: Eukaryota; Metazoa; Chordata; Actinopteri; Esociformes; Esocidae
Source: Ensembl